Molecule: ribosomal RNA, 425 nt
Filed under: uncultured prokaryote
Description: bacterial SSU rRNA
Rfam family: Bacterial small subunit ribosomal RNA
Source: RNAcentral
UAGGGAAUAUUGGUUAAUCUGCGAAAGCCUGACCCAGCAAUGCCGCGUGCAGGACGAAGUCCUUCGGGAUGUAAACUGCUGUCAGGGGUCCGCAAGCGAAGGGGUCCAACAGGCCCUGGAGUUGAGCAGCCCCAGAGGAAGCCUCGACUAACUCCGUGCCAGCAGCCGCGGUAAUGCGGAGGUUGCGAGCGUUGUUCGGAAUAACUGGGCGUAAAGGGAGCGCAGGCGGUCUGGUAAGUCUAAAGUGAAAGCCCGGGGCUUAACCUCGGAAGUGCUUUGGAUACUGCCGCACUCGAGUUCGUGAGAGGAAAGCGGAAUUCCAGGUGUAGCGGUGAAAUGCGUAGAUAUCGGGAAGAACACUCAUGGCGAAGGCAGUCUUCUGGGUCAUGACUGACGCUCAAUUGCGAAGGUGUGGGUAUCAAACA